AGACAGAAACUGAGAUGGGCCCUCCCAAUGGCGUCCGGUGUGCAGUGGCUGCCAACAGCAGCCUGCUGGGUAGUGCAUGCAGCCUGCUGCUUGUAUCGCUGCCCUAAGGGACCCUGGAGACAGCC
RNAcentral lists this small nucleolar RNA (125 nucleotides) under Erinaceus europaeus (western European hedgehog). RNAcentral describes it as "Small nucleolar RNA SNORA70 (ENSEEUG00000022863.1)". It matches the Rfam family "Small nucleolar RNA SNORA70". From Rfam's summary of the family: snoRNA U70 seems to be exclusive to mammals and is a member of the H/ACA class of snoRNA which contain H (ANANNA) and ACA box motifs. H/ACA box snoRNAs are involved in the conversion of uridines to pseudouridines (5-ribosyluracil) a constituent of structural RNAs (transfer, ribosomal, small nuclear, and small nucleolar). The record is from RNAcentral. Lineage: Eukaryota; Metazoa; Chordata; Mammalia; Eulipotyphla; Erinaceidae.